RNAcentral lists this ribosomal RNA (497 nucleotides) under uncultured bacterium. RNAcentral describes it as "partial 16S ribosomal RNA". It matches the Rfam family "Bacterial small subunit ribosomal RNA", at positions 28 to 507 of the family's 1533-position model. The record is from RNAcentral.
GAUGAACGCUGGCGGCGUGCCUAAUAUAUGCAAGUCGAGCGAACAGACGAGGAGCUUGCUCCUCUGACGUUAGCGGCGGACGGGUGAGUAACACGUGGAUAACCUACCUAUAAGACUGGGAUAACUUCGGGAAACCGGAGCUAAUACCGGAUAACAUUUUGAACCGCAUGGUUCAACAGUGAAAGACGGUCUUGCUGUCACUUAUAGAUGGAUCCGCGCCGCAUUAGCUAGUUGGUAAGGUAACGGCUUACCAAGGCAACGAUGCGUAGCCGACCUGAGAGGGUGAUCGGCCACACUGGAACUGAGACACGGUCCAGCAUCCUACGGGAGGCAGCAGUAGGGAAUCUUCCGCAAUGGGCGAAAGACUGAAGGAGCAACGCCGCGUGAGUGAAGAAGGUCUUCGGAUCGUAAAACUCUGUUAUUAGGGAAGAACAAAUGUGUAAGUAACUAUGCACGUCUUGACGGUACCUAAUCAGAAAGCCACGGCUAACUACGUG